Eucalyptus grandis is the source of this 713-nucleotide long non-coding RNA. RefSeq lists it as uncharacterized. The transcript has 2 exons. The record is from RefSeq and is a predicted model, not a curated record. Lineage: Eukaryota; Viridiplantae; Streptophyta; Magnoliopsida; Myrtales; Myrtaceae.
CUCUCUCUCUCUCUCUCUCUCUCUGCGCUCAACUAUAUCUUACAAAUGAUUUAACUUUUGCAAAAGCCACCCUCCUUAAACCCAUUGUCAUUGUUCUCAUUCUCUUGGUACACGGACACGGGGAAAGGAUUUCAAGAGGGUGCUCCUCGUACAACUUCCGACCGAUUCUUCAUCUCAUACCAAACAAGAUUUAGUUUCAGUCAGAUCGAGUGGUCAGGGACGCCUUGGAAGCUUGAUGAGUGUUGAACUCGCUAACAUGCGAAAGUAGCAAAAAGCUUAACCAUCGGCCAGCAACUCCAACGGAAUGGACACGAGAGAAAGGAGGACAUCUACUUCAAUUCCUGGAAGGAAAAUAACCGAACAUAGCAGUGGGAGUUCCUUCUCAAUAGGAUGUGGGAAAUUUCCACGAGCGACCACAUACUUCAGCUUGGAAUGGAUCCUCUUGCUCAUGUGCCUGACGGCGAUUCUGCUGAUACUGCCUCUCGUUCUUCCGCCAUUGCCUCCCCCUCCUUCCAUGUUGCUGUUGCUCCCUAUUGCCAUCCUAUCUGUGCUCCUGAUAUUAGCUUUCACGCCUUCUAACAUUAGAGACUUGACCUAUGCGUAUUGCUAAUUCCAAUUUGAAUUCGUCAUGCUCUUUUCAUUUACUUUAAAUUUGAUUUUUGAAGAGUUAAAAGAGGAAGGGAAUUUUAGGAGAAGAGACUUCUUUCGAUCUA